GAUGAAGAACGUAGCGAAAUGCGAUAAGUAAUGUGAAUUGCAGAAUUCAGUGAAUCAUCGAAUCUUUGAACGCACAUUGCGCCCGCCAGUAUUCUGGCGGGCAUGCCUGUUCGAGCGUCAUUUCAACCAUCAAGCCCUGCUUGCGUUGGGGUCCUGCGGCUGCCCGCAGGCCCUGAAAACCAGUGGCGGGCUCGCUAGUCACACCGAGCGCAGUAAUACAUCUCGCUUUGGGCGUGCGGCGGGUUCUUGCCGUUAAACACCCCCUUUUUACCAAGGUUGACCUCGGAUCAGGUAGGAAUACCCGCUGAACUUAAGCACAUCAAUAAGCGGAGGA
This 334-nucleotide unclassified non-coding RNA is filed under the name soil metagenome. RNAcentral describes it as "partial contains 5.8S ribosomal RNA, internal transcribed spacer 2, and large subunit ribosomal RNA". The stretch from base 1 to 120 matches the Rfam family "5.8S ribosomal RNA", at positions 35 to 154 of the family's 154-position model. The record is from RNAcentral.